This is a long non-coding RNA of Selaginella moellendorffii, 1133 nucleotides long. RefSeq lists it as uncharacterized. The transcript has 3 exons. Lineage: Eukaryota; Viridiplantae; Streptophyta; Lycopodiopsida; Selaginellales; Selaginellaceae. The record is from RefSeq and is a predicted model, not a curated record.
UAUCCGGGAGAUCCUUCAAAAUUCGAGGACAGAGACUAUUUGAUGUCGAUCCGAUAUCCUGCUGGUCUUGCGCAACUAUAUCCUUAGACUGACGGCAUAUGUUCUAUUUUUCACAGCAAGUUCAAAUCAUGCCGCCUUUGAGACAGGUAUUUUGUUCGUGUCGCAUUCAGAGUGAAGGCUGACAAUGGAUUUGUUACGCUGCUUGCACUCGCUGUGGAUUCCAUUACUUCUAUGCACGUUCCCUCCGUCUGUACGGCAAGCGAUAUGUUUAAGUGCUAGUGAGCAAGCAUCGUUACUUGGAAAAUAUACAGUGAAGACAGUCUGACUGCUCGUGACAGUGGAGACAACGUUCUACGUUAUGACUGAGCUAUGACUGAGUGGGCCUCUUGACAACUGAGCUCAUGGAGAGUCUUUUUUAAAUGGUGUUUCGCCAUCUUCCGUUCCUUGCCACCUGGGGAAAACCAGAUGGUGCUGUCAAGACUGGAGCAUAUGUGAAGGGAGCUGACUCGUGAAGUCUGCAACCUUUUGGCUAUAAUGGCCUCAGAUGAAGAGCAGCACGGGAAUUUUUUGGAAUCCAAUCAUUGGAACCAACCAAUGUAUAAUCCAAGAGUCGAACAGCACUGCGCAUGCUGAGCUUCUCGGUUUGCUCCAGGAAAUCCUAGUGAAACUCUCUCCACACACGUUAACGCCUACCCAGUAAGUCUUUCUCCACCUUUUUCGCUUUCUUGUUUUCGGACAGGUUUCAGCACAUAAAGAAUCUACUCUUGGCGGCUUGAGGGGACACGGUCUCGUGCAACACUCUCGUCUCAAGCCUGUGUAGAUUCGAGCAGCAAGACACGGUGCUCCACCUCUUCAAAGUCAUGGACUUGUAAAACAACCUCCGGAGCCGAAAACAAGUUCUGUCCUCCAUGCCGGCGUUUACCGCAGCACUGCAGGAAAUGCGAGUGUUUGCUGGCGUCUCUGGACCUCUGCUCCUCUCGAACUGGGAAGGCAAGCUUGCAAGAUUGCGGACAGGACAAAGAUAGCGUUUUCUUUCUCGUUAGCGGCUUCUAGUUAAUGUAAUCAGCACAGGGCUUCUCUGAGUGAUUGCCCAAGCGUAUCACAUAUGUAAAUUUUUGUCUCUGUUCUUGUUA